AAAGGAGACGAGAUUAAAAAACAAAUAAGCGGAGUCAUCUGUUAAAAGUCCAAGGAUGAGGCAGGAAAACGUCACCAAACCUAACAGGAUCAGAACUGGAUUGUGUCUCUGCACUUUAGCUUCUGUUGUUGAGCUUUAACUUGAAUUUCUUUAGGCCACACUUAAUCAUAAAGCACGCACUUGUUACUAGUUAUGGAGAACAUUAUCUGGACACUGCUUAUUCAUCUGGAAUAGGUUUACAUUUAGCAUGUAUGGAAUUUACUUCUGUGCCAAUUAAAGUGAAUGUGUAAUAUAAUUUGAAUAAAAUGUAAUUGAAACUGAUAAAAAAAAAAUGCAGGCAUAAUCUUUGACUCUGUUUUCAAUAAACUGCAUGUUUUGCAACA
Long non-coding RNA from Carassius auratus (goldfish), 383 nucleotides. RefSeq lists it as uncharacterized. The record is from RefSeq and is a predicted model, not a curated record. NCBI's taxonomy places the organism in Eukaryota, Metazoa, Chordata, Actinopteri, Cypriniformes, Cyprinidae. The transcript has 2 exons.